GCUUCCAUGGUCUAGCGGUUAUGACAUGAGUCUCAUAUCAAGCAUAUGACGUCGAAGGUUAACUUCGAUGAGCAAUCUCAGGGUCGUGGGUUCGAUCCCCACUGGAGGCA
Molecule: non-coding RNA, 110 nt
Organism: Aspergillus taichungensis
Lineage: Eukaryota; Fungi; Ascomycota; Eurotiomycetes; Eurotiales; Aspergillaceae
Source: the annotation of a GenBank genome assembly